This 318-nucleotide ribosomal RNA is filed under the name uncultured eukaryote. RNAcentral describes it as "partial 18S ribosomal RNA". It matches the Rfam family "Eukaryotic small subunit ribosomal RNA", at positions 1470 to 1796 of the family's 1831-position model. The record is from RNAcentral.
CCCCUAGAUGUUCUGGGCCGCACGCGCGCUACACUGAUGCAAUCAACGAGCUUUCCUUGUCCGACAGGACCGGGUAAUCUUCUCAAAUUGCAUCGUGAUGGGGAUAGAGCAUUGCAAUUAUUGCUCUUCAACGAGGAAUUCCUAGUAAGCGCAAGUCAUCAGCUUGUGCUGAUUACGUCCCUGCCCUUUGUACACACCGCCCGUCGCUCCUACCGAUUGAGUGGUCCGGUGAAUUAUUUGGACCGAGGUUAUUGCUCACGCAGUGACAUCGGGAAGUUUUGUGAACCUUAUCACUUAGAGGAAGGAGAAGUCGUAACA